UAUGGACCUUGUAUAGGCAGUAUCAUUCCAGCACAAAGAAACUACAGAGGACUUAUCAGUGCUGGUCCCUUCAAUCAGAACUACAGCUAUCAGACUGGUUUUAUCCCACGUAAGAAUCCAAAUCUUGUACUAUGCAAGAUUAAUCCUUAGAUUUGCUUAAUGGAAGUUCAUAAAUGGCAACAAUCCCACUACUGGUAUUCCAAAUGUUGAAGAGUAAAUUGAUCUUUGAUUACAACAUUAAAAAAAUAAGCAGUG
Long non-coding RNA from Choloepus didactylus (southern two-toed sloth), 255 nucleotides. RefSeq lists it as uncharacterized. NCBI's taxonomy places the organism in Eukaryota, Metazoa, Chordata, Mammalia, Pilosa, Megalonychidae. The record is from RefSeq and is a predicted model, not a curated record. The transcript is spliced from 3 exons.